CCUACGGGUGGCAGCAGUAGGGAAUCUUCCACAAUGGACGAAAGUCUGAUGGAGCAACGCCGCGUGCGUGAAGAAGGGUUUCGGCUCGUAAAGCUCUGUUGGUAGUGAAGAACGUUAGAGGUAGUAACUGGCCUCUAUUUGACGGUAAUUUCUUAGAAAGUCACGGCUAACUAAGUGCCAGCAGCCGCGGUAAUACGUAGGUGGCAAGCGUUGUCCGGAUUUAUUGGGCGUAAAGCGAGUGCAGGCGGUUCAAUAAGUCUGAUGGGAAAGCCUCCGGCUCAACCGGAGAAUUGCAUCAGAAACUGGUGAACUAGAGUGCAGAAGAGGAGAGUGGAACUCCAUGUGUAGCGGUGGAAUGCGUAGAUAUAUGGAAGAACACCAGUGGCGAAGGCGGCUCUCUGGUCUGCAACUGACGCUGAGGCUCGAAAGCAUGGGGAGCGAACAGGAUUAGAUACCCGGGUAGUC
Molecule: ribosomal RNA, 465 nt
Filed under: uncultured bacterium
Lineage: Bacteria
Description: partial 16S ribosomal RNA
Rfam family: Bacterial small subunit ribosomal RNA
Source: RNAcentral